This 740-nucleotide long non-coding RNA is filed under the name Pan troglodytes (chimpanzee). RNAcentral describes it as "lncRNA (ENSPTRG00000054504.1)". The record is from RNAcentral. Lineage: Eukaryota; Metazoa; Chordata; Mammalia; Primates; Hominidae.
UUCACACAAGUGCUACAUCCAAGCCAGUCGUGAAACAAAAUGAUUUGGAUUUUCUCAUUUUUUCAAAGAAUACUUACUGAUGUGUUACGGAAGCUAAAAGGGAAAACCAAAUUGAUGAUAAUCAAUUCCUAUGGACAUAUCAAAGCAGGUGUUGAAUAUCUGAAAGCUCUAUUACCGUUUAUCUUAGUUUGGCAUGUGAUCAGAGAUUUUGAUAUUUCUGGAUGGAACUGGGCAUGACUGAUGAUGAGGAAACUGACUCCUAGAGGGACUGACUAGACCAAGGUCACACCACUAACAGAAAAUCGAGGUUAAAGCAUGAUUAACACAUGUUUUGAGAAAUGAGGAUGAUGAAUAUCAGACCACUGACAAGCUGUGUUCUAACAGCAAAAUGAAGAGAAAAAAAUAUAUUCUAUAACUUGAUUUACCAAAGACGAAAAAAAAAAACACAAAACAGGCUUGAUGGAUUUACUUCUUCCCUGAAUAGAUCGGUUGUCUUUAUGUCAUGCAGAGAGAGCCGAAGCAGGACUUCAGUCAAAUGACAUCACAAUUUUAUGCAGCUAGGUGGCUGUUUUCCAAAGAACAGCAGAAUAUUUGUUGGUCAGCCUCCUGUGUCUCAGCAUUAUAUUCCUCAAAAGUUGAAUUAUUGAUGGACAUCUGCUCUGUGUGGCGCAUGGCAGUGGGAUGUAUUGGGAAGAAUCUGGAUUUUGGAAUCAUACUGUGUUCAAAUCAGAGACUCAGCU